This 254-nucleotide ribosomal RNA is filed under the name uncultured bacterium. RNAcentral describes it as "partial 16S ribosomal RNA". It matches the Rfam family "Bacterial small subunit ribosomal RNA", at positions 79 to 334 of the family's 1533-position model. The record is from RNAcentral.
CUUUCUUUGCUGGCGACCGGCGCACGGGUGAGUAACACGUAUCCAACCUGCCCUUUACUCGGGGAUAGCCUUUCGAAAGAAAGAUUAAUACCCGAUAGCAUAAUGAUUCCGCAUGGUUUCAUUAUUAAAGGAUUCCGGUAAAGGAUGGGGAUGCGUUCCAUUAGGUUGUUGGUGAGGUAACGGCCCACCAAGCCUUCGAUGGAUAGGGGUUCUGAGAGGAAGGUCCCCCACAUUGGAACUGAGACGCGGUCCAA